This 99-nucleotide ribosomal RNA is filed under the name Escherichia coli. RNAcentral's name for it is "partial 16S ribosomal RNA". It matches the Rfam family "Bacterial small subunit ribosomal RNA", at positions 1 to 93 of the family's 1533-position model. The record is from RNAcentral. Lineage: Bacteria; Pseudomonadati; Pseudomonadota; Gammaproteobacteria; Enterobacterales; Enterobacteriaceae.
UUAAAUUGAAGAGUUUGAUCAUGGCUCAGAUUGAACGCUGGCGGCAGGCCUAACACAUGCAAGUCGAACGGUAACAGAAAGCAGCUUGCUGCUUUGCUG